RNA transcript from Otolemur garnettii (small-eared galago), 1457 nucleotides. It is a transcript of the gene named keratin, type II cytoskeletal 8 pseudogene, with no coding region annotated. NCBI's taxonomy places the organism in Eukaryota, Metazoa, Chordata, Mammalia, Primates, Galagidae. The record is from RefSeq and is a predicted model, not a curated record. The transcript has 2 exons.
UGAUCUUCCGAUCUUCGCCAUGUCCAUCAGGGUUACCCAGAAGUCCUACAAGGUGUCUACCUCCGCCCCACGGGCCUUCAGCAGCCGCUCAUACAGCAGUGGGCCCGGUGCCCGCAUCAGCUCCUCGAGCUUCUCUCGGGUGGGCAGCGGCAGCUUCCCGAGUGGCCUGAGCACCGGCCUGGGUCUGGGUGGAGGCUACACCAGGGCUGGAGGUAUGGGGGGCAUCAUAGCCGUCACAGUGAACCAGAGCCUGCUGAGCGCGCUCAACCUGGAGGUGGACCCCAACGUUCAGGCCGUGCGCACCCAGGAGAAGGAGGAGAUCAAGACCCUCAACAACAAGUUUGCCUCCUUCAUCGACAAGGUGCGCUUCCUGGAGCAGCAGAACAAGAGGCUGGAGACCAAGUGGAACCUCCUGCAGUAGCAGCAGCAGACGGCUCGCAGCAACAUGGACAGCGUGUUUGAAAGCUACAUCAACAACCUUCGGCUACAGCUGGACACACUGGGCCAGGAGAAGCUGAAGCUGGAGGCAGAGCUUGGCAACAUGCAGGGGCUGGUGGAGGACUUCAAGAAUAAGUAUGAGGAGGAGACCAACAAGCGUACGGAGAUGGAGAAUGAAUUUGUCCUCAUCAAGAAGGAUGUGGAUGAAGCCUACAUGAACAAGGUGGAGCUGGAGUCCCGCCUGGACGGGCUGACUGAUAAAAUCAACUUCCUCAGGCAGUUGUAUGAAGAGGAGAUCCGUGAGCUGCAGUCCCAGAUCUCAGACACGUCUGUGGUCCUGUCCAUGGACAACAGCCACUCCCUGGACAUGGACAGCAUCAUUGCUGAGGUCUGCGUCCAGUAUGAGGAGAUCGCCAACCACAGCUGGGCUGAGGCUGAGAGCAUGUACCAGACCAAGUACAAAGAGCUGCAGGUGCAGGCUGGGAAGCACUGGGACGACCUGUGGCACACAAAGACGGAGAUCGAAGCUCUCAAAGGCCAGAGGGCUGCCCUGGAGGCCUUCAUCGCAGAUGCUGAGCAGUGUGGGGAGCCAGCUCUUAAGGAUGCCAACACCAAGCUGGCCCAGCUGGAGGCUGCCCUGCGUCAGGAGCAGCUGCGUGAAUACCAGGGUCUGAUGAAUGUCAAGCUGGCCCUGGACGUGGAGAUCACCACCGACUACAAGCUGCUGAAGGGCGAAGAGAGCCGGCUGGAGUCGGGGAUGCAGAACAUGAGUAUCCACACGAAGACCACCAGUGGCUACUCAGGUGGCCUGAGCUCGGCCUACAGGGGCCUCAUAAGCCCUGGCCUCAGCUAUGGUCUGAGCUCCUUCCAGACUGGCUUUGGCUCUGGUGGAGACUCCAGCUCCUUCAGCUGUACCAGCUCCAGGGCUGUGGUUGUGAAGAAGAUUGAGACCCGAGAUGGGAAGCUGGUGUCUGAGUCCUCUGAUGUCCUGCCCAAGUGAGCUGCCAUUGCAACCCCUC